UACGUAGGGGUCUAGCGUUGUCCGGAAUUAUUGGGCGUAAAGAGCUCGUAGGCGGUUCGGCAAGUCGGAUGUGAAAUCUCCACGCUUAACGUGGAGGGGCCAUUCGAAACUGCCGUGCCUCGAGUCCGGUAGGGGAGUGCGGAAUUCCCGGUGUAGCGGUGAAAUGCGCAGAUAUCGGGAGGAACACCAGUGGCGAAGGCGGCGAUCUGGGAAGGAACUGACGCUGAGGAGCGAAAGCGUGGGGAGCGAACAGG
RNAcentral lists this ribosomal RNA (254 nucleotides) under uncultured bacterium. RNAcentral's name for it is "partial 16S ribosomal RNA". It matches the Rfam family "Bacterial small subunit ribosomal RNA", at positions 524 to 776 of the family's 1533-position model. The record is from RNAcentral.